AUGGCCACCAUAGACGUAACACCACCCCCUCCUCUGGGAUGGCUCCUACAGGAUCCCCAUGAAAUUCGGGCACACUUCGACAUGUUUUAUAGGUCCCCGUUCUUUGUCGCUCCUAGGAGCGGCCUUUCCCUAGCCCCUGAUUGUUGGACCAGCCCCUAGCUGGUUUCUAACAUGGAGAACGCUGCCCUUAUGGCCCCCUUCUCCGAGGGCGAGGUCUGGGCUGCCAUUAGAGGCAUGAAGCCUACCUCGGCUCCGGGUCCGGACAGCCUCCCGGUUAAAUUCUUCCAGACUUUCUGGAACGUGAUUAAACAUGAGAUCAUGGCCAUCUUCGACGAGUUCUAUGUUGGGUCCAUCGACCUCGUACGCCUCAACUAUGGGAUCAUCUUGCUCAUUCCUAAGGUGCCUGGGGCUUCUGACAUCCGCUAGUUUCGUCCAAUCACAGUCAUCAAUGUGAUUUUCUGGAUUCUGGCAAAAGGGUACGCCAAUAGGGUGACCCUUCUUGCUGACUACCCAUCCCAACCAAUCCGCCUUCAUUCAAGGGCAGUAUAUCCUGGAUGGGGUGCUUGUUCUACAUGA
Molecule: ribosomal RNA, 576 nt
Filed under: Triticum aestivum (bread wheat)
Lineage: Eukaryota; Viridiplantae; Streptophyta; Magnoliopsida; Poales; Poaceae
Description: partial small subunit ribosomal RNA
Source: RNAcentral